This 253-nucleotide ribosomal RNA is filed under the name uncultured bacterium. Its description in RNAcentral is "partial 16S ribosomal RNA". It matches the Rfam family "Bacterial small subunit ribosomal RNA", at positions 524 to 776 of the family's 1533-position model. The record is from RNAcentral.
UACGUAGGGUGCGAGCGUUAAUCGGAAUUACUGGGCGUAAAGUGUGCGCAGGCGGCGUUGCAAGUCAAGUGUGAAAGCCCCGGGCUUAACUUGGGAAUUGCGCUCGAAACUACGAUGCUGGAGUAUGGCAGAGGAAGGUGGAAUUCCACGUGUAGCGGUGAAAUGCGUAGAGAUGUGGAGGAACACCGAUGGCGAAGGCAGCCUUCUGGGCCAAUACUGACGCUCAUGCACGAAAGCGUGGGGAGCAAACAGG